GUUCCCUCCGAAGUUUCCCUCA
RNAcentral lists this small nuclear RNA (22 nucleotides) under Arabidopsis thaliana (thale cress). RNAcentral's name for it is "snRNA_00743". The record is from RNAcentral. Lineage: Eukaryota; Viridiplantae; Streptophyta; Magnoliopsida; Brassicales; Brassicaceae.